AUGUCAGUUUUCUUCAACCCAAGAACGGCUGUUUGCAUAAAGGAUGAAUCAAAGGCAAGAGAGGCAUUGAUCAUGGCUCAUUUACCAGAAGGAACUAAAAUAUACCUGCUAGUAAUGGUAGUAAACAUCGUUCACCCGCACCUAACAGGGGAAAUAAGAAACCUUCUUUUCAUAAAUGAAUAUGCAUGUACAGAAAGAAUUAUUAUGUGAUGAGAAAAUGAUACGGUUAAAGAAUAGUGUAAGCUGAAUUUGUCUACAAUUAAAAUUUUUAUAAAAAAGCUUUUUCCUAGGUAUCGUUGUGAGCACUAUAAGAGAGAUAAAAAUUUAACUGAUAUUAUUCAAAUGAAAAUCAAAGAUUGCAACUGCACUAAUUGCCAACUGCUUAAAAGAAAAUGUCUUGAUUUUCAAAGUCUAAUGUACUUAUAUUUAUUACUUUGGAGCUUUCCUUUCUUCUUAAAAGUCAUGUUUUGCUAUGACUGUCAAAAAUAUAUCAUUACUUCAUUAAGAAGUCAUUUUGUUAAAGUAAUUUAUAUGUAAUUAUAAAAAUAUGGAUAAAUUUGCAUAUUAGUUUUAUUUCACAGAAUGGGUAAUACGAAUGAGUAUUCCUUUCUAGGUAGCUUGAUUUUUUGCUCUGAAUUUUUUAAACAUCUUAAUUCUUUUUUCUUUUCUUUGUUUCUUUUUUAAGAAAAAAAAAAAAAAACAGGGUCUUACUCUGUCACUCAGGCUGGAGUGCAAGGGUGCAAUCUGGGCUCACUGCAACCUCCACUUCCUGGGCUCAAGCAAUUCUUCCACUUCAGCCUCCCAAGCAGCUAAGACUACAGGUGUAUGCCACCAUACUUGGCUAAUUUUUUUUAAAAAAAAUUUGUAGUGACAAUGUCUCGCUGUAUUGUCCGGGCUGGACUGGAAGUCCUGUAAUCAAGUGAUCCUCCCACCUUGGCCUCCCAAAGUGUUGGGAUUACAAGCAUGAGUCACUGUACCAAAGUCUUAAUUCUUGAGACUCUGAAAUUUUAUCAGCAUGUAUCUUGGUAUGGAUGCUUUUUUUCAUCCAUUGAACACAAUACGUUACUCCAUGGACUUAUUUCAGUCUGAAAAAUUGACUAUUUUUUCAGUUCUGAGAUUGUAAAAAUUAAUAUCUCUUUGAUGAUGUCUUCUUUGUUUCUUAUAUUCUUUGAUUUUAUGGGUUUUUUUUAAGUUAGACUUAAUCACCAAAUUUUUUAAUUAACUAUAAUAUCUUUCAUUACUUUACCUUUCACUCAACAUUUGGUAAAAAUUUUUGGAUUCCUUUACCCUUUGCCCUGAUCCAUUGCAUUAUUUAGUUAAUAUACCAAUGAUUUAAAUUCCAGAAAUACUAUUAUAAUUUUUAUUUACAAUAAAUGUAAUAUGUUAUUUCAGAAAAUUAAUUUAUAUUACUUGCUUAAACUAAAUUUUAAAUACAGAUAAAUUUAUCUUGGUUGAAUGUUUUCCCAAGGAUGUUUCACUUGAUCUGUGAAAGUUUAGUAGCUAUUACUUGAACAAAAAGUCUGUUGUGAGGUGAAUUAAGUUUAGGAAAAUUAAAAAUUAGGAAAAACUGUGUUUUACAAAUACUAAACAUAUUUCUUAAAUAUAUGAUUACAAAUAGCAUUA
Macaca mulatta (Rhesus monkey) is the source of this 1623-nucleotide long non-coding RNA. NCBI's taxonomy places the organism in Eukaryota, Metazoa, Chordata, Mammalia, Primates, Cercopithecidae. The record is from Ensembl.